GUGUCUGUAGUUGUUCUCCAGAGAGCGGAGACACAGAGCAGCAAUGCUGUAAGCAACUUUAAGCCAGGUAUGAUCAUAAAUCAUCAAAUCAUACCUAGAACUACUUAUCUGGAACUCCCAAAUGUGGACUUUUAAGAUCACGCUAUGUCGCCGUGGAAUUGGAGGACAUAAGGUGUUUCUGUUUCAAAUUUUUGAUUGGGAUAAAUAUUCUGCAAGGCUGGGAGAAGAGGGCAACAGCACAUCCAUUUACUUUGGCAGUAGUUUUGUUGGAGUGUGACCUGUAACCAGCACUCUGAGCAAAAAUGUCAACCCAAGAUUAACAUAGGAACUGGCAGCGGUGAAGUCAGAAAGCCAGCUCAAGGGACUGGCAUGUAUGAACUUGUAGAUUGACAGUUAAAUUAAGAAGCUGUUUUAGAAGUCUUUCGUGCAGGAUGACUCAUUUUGUAAAACCAUCUGAGGUCAAACAUGGGGAUGGAAGUAGACUAAAAUAGCAACUGGUGCUAAUGUAGGAAAUAUACCUCUAGAGGACUUUGAAAUGGGAAAUGUUUCUGAAAAGUGGUCCAUGUGGAAGAAGAAGAUCAUUUUGGUUCUUGCAGGACAAGAAGCAGACGAAUUGUCAAAGACCCAAAAGGCUGCACAUUUACAACUAUGAACUGGACAGAAAGGAAACAAGAUCAGCAAUACACAGGAACCCAACAGACAGAUCAUCUCAGCUGACUGAAAAAGCCUGGACAAAUUAUUUUGUUCAGGAGUAUUUUAAUCUAUGCCAAAAUAUAUCAUUUCAAAGGUUGUUUUUGAUUUUUUUUAAUGUAGUAAAGUCAAUAGACAAAUGGUUACCUCAGCUGCAAUACAAAAUAAAAGACUGCAUUUUCAUAUGAA
Dermochelys coriacea (leatherback sea turtle) is the source of this 879-nucleotide long non-coding RNA. RefSeq lists it as uncharacterized. The record is from RefSeq and is a predicted model, not a curated record. The transcript is spliced from 2 exons. Lineage: Eukaryota; Metazoa; Chordata; Testudines; Dermochelyidae.